GACGGAGGAUGCAAGUGUUAUCCGGAAUCACUGGGCGUAAAGCGUCUGUAGGUGGUUCGAAAAGUCCACUGUUAAAAAUUGAGGCUUAACUUCAAAGAUGCCGUGGAAACUUUCAAACUAGAGUAUGGUAGGGGUAGAGGGAAUUUCCAGUGGAGCGGUGAAAUGCGUAGAUAUUGGAAAGACCACCGAUGGCGAAGGCACUCUACUGGGCCAUUACUGACACUGAGAGACGAAAGCUAGGGGAG
Molecule: ribosomal RNA, 245 nt
Filed under: uncultured bacterium
Lineage: Bacteria
Description: partial 16S ribosomal RNA
Rfam family: Bacterial small subunit ribosomal RNA
Source: RNAcentral